AGAUCCUUGUAAUCCAGAGCCAUGAGAUCUUGUUCAACAUGUUUGUCCCACUUGGUAGGCGUGUUUUAAUUUAAGGUUUUGCCAUAGAAGAGCAGUAUCUUGAAGAAGACCUGGGAAAAACAAGUGGAGGCAGUGAUGACAAAGAAUGAUACAGUAUGCACCAUAUCAUGAACAGCAAAACAAUGAAUUAUGCAAUCUGAACCUCAUAUUGCAUUAUACAUGAUAUAAACAUUAUUCUUAGAAGAAGGGGAAAAAGUAUGGAAACAUGAAACAAUCUUUGAGGUGCAUAAACUAUGACCAACAUCAGUGGUGGCUUUGUGGUGAUUUGAAGGUUGUUGCUCUCUUGCUUGGUCUGCAGACUGGAUACAGAAAGUACAGCAGUUUUCUAUGCAAAUGGGAUAGUCAUGCAAGAGAGUCCCACUACAUCAAGACAGAUUGACCACUCUGACAGCCUUUGUAGCCUGGGAGGAAAAGUUUUCAUCACUUGUUGAAUCGAGGAAGAUUUUGUUUCCAUCCUUAUACACCAGACUGGGUCCGAUGAAGAACUUUGUUUCCCCCACCAAACUGCAGGACAGUGAGCAACAACCAUGGCAAGCAAUUUCACCAGGAUAUUGUAACAAUGAAGAAAUGCUGCCAGGGCAAAUCGAGCCCAUCAGUGCUUGCAGACUAUUGCUGGACAGUGACAAGAGAUGCUCAGUUUAAUGAAUGCAAAAGACAAGACAAGAAGUGCCAAGUAGAAAGUGAAUAGGACUGAAAUGUGUACAUAAUAGUUGGUUUGUUUGUUUGUUUUUUAUUUUUUUGCCUUUUGUUUCAUAAUGAAUUUUAUUUAUAUAACCGUCCUGCUGAUUUUUAAACAUAAACAAGACAGGUGAAAUAUUAUUAUUUAAAGCGACCAUAAACACAUGAAAAGACCUAGGUCCACAAUUUAUGAUUAAAACUACUAUCUAAACAAUAUAGAUAAAGGUAAAGGUUCCCCUUGACAUUUAGUCCAAUUGUGUCUGAC
Pogona vitticeps (central bearded dragon) is the source of this 1003-nucleotide non-coding RNA. Lineage: Eukaryota; Metazoa; Chordata; Lepidosauria; Squamata; Agamidae. The record is from RefSeq and is a predicted model, not a curated record.